This 539-nucleotide ribosomal RNA is filed under the name Betta chini. Its description in RNAcentral is "partial 16S ribosomal RNA". It matches the Rfam family "Bacterial large subunit ribosomal RNA", at positions 1856 to 2597 of the family's 2925-position model. The record is from RNAcentral. Lineage: Eukaryota; Metazoa; Chordata; Actinopteri; Anabantiformes; Osphronemidae.
CGCCUGCCCUGUGACAAUGGUUUAACGGCCGCGGUAUUUUGACCGUGCAAAGGUAGCGCAAUCACUUGUCUUUUAAAUGAAGACCUGUAUGAAUGGCACGACGAGGGCUUAACUGUCUCCUUUUUCCAGUCAAUGAAAUUGAUCUUCCCGUGCAGAAGCGGGAAUAUAACCAUAAGACGAGAAGACCCUAUGGAGCUUUAGACACAAGACAGAUCUUGUUAAACACUUCAAAACAAAGAAACAAACUAAAAGAACGCUGUCCUUUUGUCUUUGGUUGGGGCGACCACGGGAAGACAAACAACCCCCACGCGGACUGAGAAAACAAUUCUCACAACCAAGAGCUACAGCUCUAAUCAACAGAAAUUCUGACCUAAAGAUCCGGCAACGCCGAUCAACGGACCGAGUUACCCUAGGGAUAACAGCGCAAUCCCCUUUUAGAGUCCAUAUCGACAAGGGGGUUUACGACCUCGAUGUUGGAUCAGGACAUCCUAAUGGUGCAGCAGCUAUUAAGGGUUCGUUUGUUCAACGAUUAAAGUCCU